CUGUAACAAAGGCAUACUGUGGAAGGCUAGCCAUUCCUUUAUUGUAGCAGAGUGAGUGAAGUCAUGUUUUUUGCUGUAUUGGCUCAAGUUUAUUAGAUGUUAUAGGGACUACCUUUGGGUUUCCAAAGCCUCUGCAACAUCGAUUGCUACUGAAGAAUUUGAGAACAAGAUGUUGAUGGUGUCAUCAAUUAUUGUCUGCCUUGUUUCACUCGCUGCCCACUCGUUGGCCUCUUUUGAAACAUCAAGGUGAAUGAAUGCAAUUCCUGAUCUGCAGCAAGAUAAGCACUGCAAGCAAUAUUAAAGCAAUUCGAUGUACCCACCAUGAAACUUUGAAUUUUAACUAUUACAAGAUCACACUUACCUCCUUCAAAUAUAUCUGGAAUUCACUCAACGUAGUUUCUUCAACAUCUUUUUUUUGCUCAACUUCCUUCCCUUCUAAAAUGUUCCUGUGAAUAACAAAAU
RNAcentral lists this long non-coding RNA (462 nucleotides) under Anneissia japonica. Its description in RNAcentral is "uncharacterized LOC117115072, transcript variant X2". The record is from RNAcentral. Lineage: Eukaryota; Metazoa; Echinodermata; Crinoidea; Comatulida; Comatulidae.